Molecule: transfer RNA, 91 nt
Filed under: Serendipita indica DSM 11827
Lineage: Eukaryota; Fungi; Basidiomycota; Agaricomycetes; Sebacinales; Serendipitaceae
Description: Piriformospora indica DSM 11827 tRNA
Rfam family: tRNA
About the family: Transfer RNA (tRNA) molecules are approximately 80 nucleotides in length. Their secondary structure includes four short double-helical elements and three loops (D, anti-codon, and T loops).
Source: Rfam by way of RNAcentral
GACGGCAUGGCGCAGUGGUUACCGCGGCGGCCUGCUAUCCCUUAGUCAGCCGUUUCCAUUUGGUUCGCAGGUUCGAAUCCUGCUGUCGUCG